AUUCUAUCCAUGUGGGGAAGGAUGAGAAGCUUCGACUAAGGUUCGAUUCGAGCGCAGCGAGAAAGCGUUGCCGCAGGCAACGACCCGAAGGGCGAAGCGCGCAGCGAGAAAGCGUUGCCGCAGGCAACGACCCGAAGGGCGAAGCGCGCAGCGCUGAGUAAUCCUUCCCCUACCACCA
Molecule: small RNA, 178 nt
Filed under: Salmonella enterica
Lineage: Bacteria; Pseudomonadati; Pseudomonadota; Gammaproteobacteria; Enterobacterales; Enterobacteriaceae
Also listed under: 2 other names
Description: RtT sRNA
Rfam family: RtT RNA
About the family: This family represents a bacterial cis-regulatory element known as RtT RNA. The exact function of RtT is unknown although it is thought that it may be involved in changing the cellular response in relation to amino acid starvation.
Source: RNAcentral